This 253-nucleotide ribosomal RNA is filed under the name uncultured bacterium. RNAcentral describes it as "partial 16S ribosomal RNA". It matches the Rfam family "Bacterial small subunit ribosomal RNA", at positions 524 to 776 of the family's 1533-position model. The record is from RNAcentral.
UACGUAGGGUGCGAGCGUUAAUCGGAAUUACUGGGCGUAAAGCGUGCGCAGGCGGUUCGUUGUGUCUGUGGUGAAAGCCCCGGGCUUAACCUGGGAAUGGCCAUGGAAACUGGCGGACUUGAGUGCGGUAGAGGAGAGUGGAAUUCCCGGUGUAGCAGUGAAAUGCGUAGAGAUCGGGAGGAACAUCAGUUGCGAAGGCGGCUCUCUGGACCAACACUGACGCUAAUACACGAAAGCACGGGGAGCAAACAGG